RNAcentral lists this ribosomal RNA (253 nucleotides) under uncultured bacterium. RNAcentral's name for it is "partial 16S ribosomal RNA". It matches the Rfam family "Bacterial small subunit ribosomal RNA", at positions 524 to 776 of the family's 1533-position model. The record is from RNAcentral.
UACGAAGGGGGCUAGCGUUGCUCGGAAUCACUGGGCGUAAAGCGCACGUAGGCGGCUUUCUAAGUCAGGGGUGAAAUCCCGGAGCUCAACUCCGGAACUGCCUUUGAUACUGGAAAGCUUGAGUCCGGGAGAGGUGAGUGGAACUGCGAGUGUAGAGGUGAAAUUCGUAGAUAUUCGGAAGAACACCAGUGGCGAAGGCGGCCCGCUGGACAUGUAUUGACGCUGAGGUGCGAAAGCGUGGGGAGCAAACAGG